UAACUGAUAGAAAAUGACCUGGAUAGGUAAAAUCAGUGGAUAAUGCAAAAGUACGAACGGACUCCCCAUUAUACAGGAAUGGACCAAUCAACUGAUCUCUUUCAGAAAAGGAAAUGAAUAGGGACGCAGACAGUCUACCAUUUUGCUCAAAGAUUUGAGGACAAUAGUGCUUUAAGACAACCCACAUUCCGAACUGCUGAUCCCAUUCUGCGGCAUUUUAAUGAGUAAUGGCUGUACUUCCACCGGACUUUCGAAUAUUGUAAGAGAAUACACAUUGUCUGUUCGUUUGCAUACAUCAAUUGACAAUUAUUCGAAGUUGAAGACUAUCAUUGUCCAACUUAACCUUCUCAAAAGAAUUUGCCAAAGCCAAAAGAGCCAUUUGAGCAUCCGCUUCUACUCUAGUUAACUUAAAUAGUGUUUAACAACUAGCAAGGAUCAAACCUCCUAUAAUGCUUAAAAAACUUCGCAUGCUGUUUAGUCUUGAUUAAAAAAGGUAAUUAACGAAUGUUUAAAUUGACGACGCUUACCCUUGUAGUGCUCGCCUCGCUACAUUAAGAUACACAGCAGUUUGUUAAGUGUUUAAAAGAUUAAUUACGAAUGCAAAUCUUACUAGGGCUCAUUAUCCUACAAAUGAAAGGUUCUUUGCUUAUUCGAAUUUAAAAAAAAAACUUGAAGUUUAUAAGGCUAAAGAUUAUAAAAAUAUUAAUUGAGUGAUUUUACAAGUACAUAAUCGGUUAUUGGGAAUAUGCGGUAGACGACAUUAUAAAUAUUGCUUAGAGUCACUAAAACAGCAAAAUACUUUCACAUAUUCUAAAUUUAAUCAAAAAGUCAAUAUACCUGACUGUUAUUGUAAAAGAUAAAUUCAGAAAAUAGUUGAAUAUAUUGAUCGUUAGAAAAAUAGUGUGAAACAAAUUUAAUCUCGCAUUUUUUUACCUAACAAAUAGAGACGAAAGUGCAUUUAUCUAAUUUACGUUUCAAUAUUGAAAUUCUUACAGUCUACUCAUUAUUUCCUCAUUAAAAGAUCGACUUGGCACUGAAAACAAAUGAACCGCCGAUAUCCUAUAUUGUUACAAAGCAUAUGCUUAUUU
This is a non-coding RNA of Schizosaccharomyces pombe (fission yeast), 1088 nucleotides long. The record is from the annotation of a GenBank genome assembly. NCBI's taxonomy places the organism in Eukaryota, Fungi, Ascomycota, Schizosaccharomycetes, Schizosaccharomycetales, Schizosaccharomycetaceae.